RNAcentral lists this ribosomal RNA (253 nucleotides) under uncultured bacterium. RNAcentral describes it as "partial 16S ribosomal RNA". It matches the Rfam family "Bacterial small subunit ribosomal RNA", at positions 524 to 776 of the family's 1533-position model. The record is from RNAcentral.
UACGGAGGGGGCUAGCGUUGUUCGGAAUUAUUGGGCGUAAAGGGCGCGUAGGCGGCCGUAUAAGUCUGACGUGAAAUCCCUCGGCCUAACCGGGGAACUGCGUUUGAAACUGUCUGGCUCGAGUCCGGGAGAGGGUAGUGGAAUUCCCAGUGUAGCGGUGAAAUGCGUAGAUAUUGGGAGGAACACCGGUGGCGAAGGCGGCUACCUGGACCGGUACUGACGCUGAGGAGCGAAAGCCAGGGGAGCAAACGGG